Phrynosoma platyrhinos (Desert horned lizard) is the source of this 72-nucleotide non-coding RNA. NCBI's taxonomy places the organism in Eukaryota, Metazoa, Chordata, Lepidosauria, Squamata, Phrynosomatidae. The record is from the annotation of a GenBank genome assembly.
GUCAUUGUGAUGUAGUGGUUUGAGCAUUAGACUAUGACUCUAGAGACCAGGGUUCGAAUCUCUGCUCAACCA